This is a non-coding RNA of Mycena latifolia, 93 nucleotides long. The record is from the annotation of a GenBank genome assembly. Lineage: Eukaryota; Fungi; Basidiomycota; Agaricomycetes; Agaricales; Mycenaceae.
GGCUCAGUAGCGGAUGGUCCGCGCCUGCCCCCCUGGGUUGCACUCGAGAAGUCCCGAGCGCAUGAAUCGCUCGUUCGAAUCGAGCCUGGGCCA